UGCCAGCCGCCGCGGUAAUACGAAGGGGGCUAGCGUUAUUCGGAAUAACUGGGCGUAAAGCGCGUGUAGGCGGACUUACAAGUCAGGGGUGAAAUCCCGGGGCUCAACCUCGGAACUGCCUUUGAAACUGUAAGUCUUGAGUUCGGUAGAGGAUAGUGGAAUUCCUAGUGUAGAGGUGAAAUUCGUAGAUAUUAGGAGGAACACCAGUGGCGAAGGCGACUAUCUGGGCCGAUACUGACGCUGAGACACGAAAGGGUCGGGAGCAAACGGGAUUAGAUA
RNAcentral lists this ribosomal RNA (279 nucleotides) under uncultured bacterium. RNAcentral describes it as "partial 16S ribosomal RNA". It matches the Rfam family "Bacterial small subunit ribosomal RNA", at positions 506 to 784 of the family's 1533-position model. The record is from RNAcentral.